AUACGUAGGUGGCAAGCGUUAUCCGGAUUUACUGGGCGUAAAGGGAGCGUAGGCGGAUAUUUAAGUGAGAUGUGAAAUACUCGGGCUUAACCUGAGUGCUGCAUUUCAAACUGGAAGUCUAGAGUGCAGGAGAGGAGAAGGGAAUUCCAUGUGUAGCGGUGAAAUGCGUAGAGAUUAGGAAGAACACCAGUGGCGAAGGCGAUUCUCUGGACUGUAACUGACGCUGAGGCUCGAAAGCGUGGGGAGC
This 247-nucleotide ribosomal RNA is filed under the name uncultured bacterium. RNAcentral's name for it is "partial 16S ribosomal RNA". It matches the Rfam family "Bacterial small subunit ribosomal RNA", at positions 523 to 769 of the family's 1533-position model. The record is from RNAcentral.